Lycium barbarum (goji berry) is the source of this 1157-nucleotide long non-coding RNA. RefSeq lists it as uncharacterized. The record is from RefSeq and is a predicted model, not a curated record. The transcript has 3 exons. NCBI's taxonomy places the organism in Eukaryota, Viridiplantae, Streptophyta, Magnoliopsida, Solanales, Solanaceae.
UCGAACCAAUAUCACAUUUUGAAGUCCACAUUCCUAUUUUGCUCUGACCUCUCGUCAGAAGGUCAUAACUUUUUAACCCAAUUUUUACUGUAUACAAUAACGCAAUACAGUUGUUCUUAGUUUCUACUUUCUUUUAUCGUUUGAUAUUUGGCUUCAUCAUCGCGCUCUUUAUUUCAAAUUGAUUCAGCAAAGCCUCCAUUAUUUCUUGUUUUAAGCUCCUUUUCUCUUCUUCGACUGGGAGUUGAAGAGGAACAAUAUGGUACUUUAGGAAUUCAAUGUAUUGGGAAAACUUUGGUAUUAAAGUUACUGGCAUAUAUGAGUUUUUCAACUUUCUCAAAUUUAUUAAUGCCAAAGAAAGAGAAAAGAAGCUUGGCUCUUGCGUGCGUUUUGAUAACCUGCUACAUUGUUAUCAAAAGAGAGACGACUAUAAGACUCUCUUACUUCAUAUAUAUUCCGCUUGAAUCAAUUUAUUUUUCCUAAAAUGAAAUUGUCUGAUUUUUAAUAUGAAAAUCAAUGCUUAUGCCCUUCUCACACUUAUGCAUCUUCCAAAAGAUUUUUUGCUGUGUCGUGGUAGUCCAUUCAUGUGCCUGUUCUGUUCAACACUUCGGAGUCUGGUAUUGCUCUUCUAUUGGCAUUGCAACACACUUUGUUAUGAAUAGAUCCAACCAAAUAUGAAGCUCCUCCUAUGAUGCUGUUUUCAGAAUAGCGAGACUUGACUGCUAAGCUCCCCACUACAGCUGAUACUCAGAGCCUCAAAGGGAAUGAUGGGUUAGAACGUACGCAGGAUGUGCUUGAAGACAAACAGUUCCUAUAUUUUGUUGGUGUCAUAUCUUCAAUAGUUUAUUGUAAUAAUUGGUAGGUACGGGGUUCUUAUGUUAUCUUUGAAAGAUACUGUUAAAGGCAUGUCUACUAUGCACAAGAUGUAACCAUCUUACUGUGCACAAGAUGUACCAAAACGUUUUAAUGCUUAUGGUUAUGCAUGUAUUUUCAUUUAUAUAAGGAGCAGUGCCAAUAUUGUCACCAGAAUAUUUGCGAAAAACAACAUAAAAAGCUCAACACGUUACCAUGUUGGGCCCGUGCUAAUCACGGGAAGCUACAUCUAGUUUCUAUAUAAUAGAAAUAGAAAAGGUUGGAAAUAUUGUUUUUUUUGUCUCUUA